CGAUAGCGUAUAUUAAAGUUGUUGCAGUUAAAAAGCUCGUAGUUGAAGAUACGAACGCUUACACUAGAACAAAGUUUCCGGUGUCUGCGUUCACUUUUCGCAAAGACAGCCUGGCCCGUUAGUUUGGGUCUUGUUUGAGUUGCGUCAUUUACUGUGAACAAAUUAGGGUGUUUAAAGCAGGCCUACGUUUGAAUACACUAGCAUGGAAUAAUAAGAUAUGAUCUUGGUCGUAUUUUGUUGGUGACUACCAAGAUAAUGAUUGAUAGAAACUGUUGUGGGUAUUCGUAUGAGCAUGUCAGAGGUGAAAUUCUUGGAUUUUGAUCAGACGAACUACUGCGAAAGUAUUUACCAAGGAUGUUUUCAUUAA
This 367-nucleotide ribosomal RNA is filed under the name uncultured eukaryote. RNAcentral describes it as "partial 18S ribosomal RNA". It matches the Rfam family "Eukaryotic small subunit ribosomal RNA", at positions 592 to 976 of the family's 1831-position model. The record is from RNAcentral.